UUAGCGGCGGACGGGUGAGUAACACGUGGGCAACCUGCCCCUUAGACUGGGAUAACUCCGGGAAACCGGAGCUAAUACCGGAUAAUCCCUUUCUCCACCUGGAGAGAGGGUGAAAGAUGGCUUCGGCUAUCACUAGGGGAUGGGCCCGCGGCGCAUUAGCUAGUUGGUAAGGUAACGGCUUACCAAGGCAACGAUGCGUAGCCGACCUGAGAGGGUGAUCGGCCACACUGGGACUGAGACACGGCCCAGACUCCUACGGGAGGCAGCAGUAGGGAAUCUUCCGCAAUGGACGAAAGUCUGACGGAGCAACGCCGCGUGAGUGAGGAAGGCCUUCGGGUCGUAAAGCUCUGUUGUGAGGGAAGAAGCGGUACCGUUCGAAUAGGGCGGUACCUUGACGGUACCUCACCAGAAAGCCACGGCUAACUACGUGCCAGCAGCCGCGGUAAUACGUAGGUGGCAAGCGUUGUCCGGAAUUAUUGGGCGUAAAGCGCGCGCAGGCGGCUUCUUAAGUCUGAUGUGAAAUCUCGGGGCUCAACCCCGAGCGGCCAUUGGAAACUGGGGAGCUUGAGUGCAGAAGAGGAGAGUGGAAUUCCACGUGUAGCGGUGAAAUGCGUAGAGAUGUGGAGGAACACCAGUGGCGAAGGCGACUCUCUGGUCUGUAACUGACGCUGAGGCGCGAAAGCGUGGGGAGCAAACAGGA
This 700-nucleotide ribosomal RNA is filed under the name Bacillus sp. I11B-02179. Its description in RNAcentral is "bacterial SSU rRNA". It matches the Rfam family "Bacterial small subunit ribosomal RNA", at positions 92 to 777 of the family's 1533-position model. The record is from RNAcentral. Lineage: Bacteria; Bacillati; Bacillota; Bacilli; Caryophanales; Bacillaceae.